AUUGAACGCUGGCGGAAGGCCUAACACCUGCAAGUCGAACGAGGGGCGGACGGGUGAGUAAUGUCUGGGAAACUGCCCGAUGGAGGGGGAUAACUACUGGAAACGGUAGCUAAUAACGCAUACCAUCGGAUGUGCCCAGAUGGGAUUCGCUAGUAGGGGGGGUAACGGCUCAACUAGGCGACGAUCCCUAGCUGGUCUGAGAGGAUGACCAGCCAAACUGGAACUGAGACACGGUCCAGACUCCUACGUGAGGCAGCAGUGGGGAAUAUUUGACAAUGGGCGCAAGCCGGAUGCAGCCAUGCCGCGUGUAUGAAGAAGGCCUUCGGGUUGUAAAGUACUUUCAGCGAGGAGGCGUUACUCGCAGAAGAAGCACCUGCUAACUCCGUGCCAGCAGCCGCGGUAAGAC
Molecule: ribosomal RNA, 406 nt
Filed under: uncultured bacterium
Lineage: Bacteria
Description: partial 16S ribosomal RNA
Rfam family: Bacterial small subunit ribosomal RNA
Source: RNAcentral